Molecule: ribosomal RNA, 253 nt
Filed under: uncultured bacterium
Lineage: Bacteria
Description: partial 16S ribosomal RNA
Rfam family: Bacterial small subunit ribosomal RNA
Source: RNAcentral
UACAGAGGUCUCAAGCGUUGUUCGGAUUCAUUGGGCGUAAAGGGUGCGUAGGCGGCGCGGUAAGUCGGGUGUGAAAUCUCGGGGCUUAACUCCGAAACUGCAUUCGAUACUACCGUGCUUGAGGACUGGAGAGGAGACUGGAAUUUACGGUGUAGCAGUGAAAUGCGUAGAUAUCGUAAGGAAGACCAGUGGCGAAGGCGGGUCUCUGGACAGUUCCUGACACUGAGACACGAAGGCCAGGGGAGCAAACGGG